AAACAGCUGAAGAUCUUCUGCAGAAGUUUCAGAAUCAUUUUCCCAUGAACCUGCGAGGACAACAGAGAAAAGCCUUCAGUCAUGAAGACAAUUGUUUGUUUUGAGUCUUGCACUAUGAGUUCUUUAACAGCUCUUCAGAUAAAGUCUCUUCAGGUUUUGUCUUUGGUGAAGGAAAUGACACAUCAGAGAUGCUUAAAGGUCUGUGCAAGCCACUUACGAUAACUAUGAGGUUUUAAUAAUCGUUUGGGUUAGGAAAAGGAAUAGCGAGCUAUAGCAAUAAAAAUAUAGUUGUUUUUUUUUCCUCCAGCUUUCCCAUUUUUGUUGAAUAUACAAAAACAUGUGAAUUGGAUGUGUAUGUUUUUUCCCUGUCUGUCUGUGAAUGUUGUGAAUGGAUGGCCGAGUGGACGGUGUGAAUCCUCUUAGGGCAGGCGUGUGCAAUCCUACUCCUGGAGGGCUGCAGAUUUCAGCUUUAAUCCUAAUUAAAUGAAGCUCAACCAGCUAACAAAGGCUUUCAGGAUCACUGGAAACUUCCAAGGGAGUGCACGUCAAGCGGAUACAGCAGCAGGAACGCAAACAGGACCAACAGAAUCUCCAUCGACUCUUUCCCUCGGUCCACAAAGUCCCCGUUGAAGACGUAUGGCGUCUCCGCUGAAGGAAACCCAUUCUGUCGUGAAACAGAAAUCUAUUACUGGCACAUUCCAAUGCAAUCAACUGUGGACAUCAGAAUUUUACUGACUUUGUAAAAGACCAACAACAGAUCCUCCAGAUGGCCGUAUGGUGAUCUCUGUGUGUUUGCAGCUGCACACAUGACUGAUGUUGGGCAUCAAGCGCAGAAGCGUCCAGGUCUUGCCCAGCAGUUGCAGCACGUACCGUGCGUGAAGCUUCUACAGAAACACAUCUGCACUUAAAGACAGCAAGAUCUUCUCAUUGACGGAAGAUAAAGACUGAAAGGAUCGUACUUGUUUGUUUUUGAAGGCGUCCACCAGCUCUGUGACAGUGGAGACGGUCAGUGGGAAGGAGAGAUGUGGGCCGGCGUAGACGUCUGGAACCUCGAUGUCCUUGUAACAGAACUGUCUCUCCCACUCCACGUCCUGAAACACGUCACUCUCGCGAAACAUCUGCGAAACCAGAUUCCCUGAGAGAGAUGGAGUCGGUUACGCCGAUCACUUCAUGAGACGAGACAAAGUCGAAGAGCUCUAGAGUUUCUUACUUUGGCUGCUGGCAGAAGUGAAAUGAUCCAUCAGGUAACCGAAGAAAUUAUACAGCUGCGGAGACACAAACAGCACAAGCAUCUUUCACAUGUAAAGACACAGAACGCAGAUACUAACUCUUGAAAGAUUGUGGUCAAUUACGGCUUAAAAGAACAUGUAACCCGAGAUCAGUGUCUGAAGUUUCUAUGACUGUAAGUCUGUGCUUCAUAUCUGUAGAGAACAUCAAUGUUUCCAACCUUGAUAUGAUCCUGUUGUCCAGAAUACUCUAUAGACUGAAAGAUGUUCCAGGUGCAGCGGCGUCGCAUCUCCAGCCGGGCCGCGUACUGACGAUACCAGCGCUGGAUGAGCAGAGCCGCACGCAUUGCUGGACAGAUGGAUGAAGAGAGAGAGACAGAGAGAGACAGAGAUAGAGAGAGAGAGAGAGAGACAGACAGACAGACAGACAGAGAGAGAGAGAGACAGACAGACAGACAGACAGACAGACGAAUGGACGGACAGAGAGACAGACAGAGAGGGAGGGAAUCAGGUCAGCAGCAGAUGUGAGUGACAGUGAUGAUUAUUCUGAAACAUGUAAUCUGACUGACCUGUAGCGGCUGCAUGUGAGAGAAACCAAGAAAAAUAAAGUUUUUGAUGUUCAUUCAUAUUCAUUGACAACAAUGAGACAUUUACUGAAAUAAAUGAGGAAGAAUUACCUGGAACUGAGAUGCUCCCUACAGACAAACAGAGACAGACAGACAGACAGACAGACAGACAGACAGACAAACAGAGACAGACAGACAGACAGACAGACAGACAGACAGAGACGGACGUGAGCUGUAUCUCUCAGAAAGCAUUCGCUGGCAGAUAUGAAUGCUUGAACAGCGUCAGACUUGAAUAAUCUUGUUCACGCACCUGGAUCGCAUGCUUUCAGCUGCUGUUGGUUUGAUUUUGUGACUCUGCAUCCCAUAUCAGUAUCGCACUGUUGAUCCAAUCACACACAUAUCACAACAACUAAUUCCAGUAAUACUUGUAGUCUGAAUUUCACUUUUAAACAAAUGUGAAUAAUAAAUGUUGCAUUUCAUUUAAUGUUCUCUGAA
Pimephales promelas (fathead minnow) is the source of this 2287-nucleotide non-coding RNA. The record is from RefSeq and is a predicted model, not a curated record. NCBI's taxonomy places the organism in Eukaryota, Metazoa, Chordata, Actinopteri, Cypriniformes, Leuciscidae.